Molecule: long non-coding RNA, 126 nt
Filed under: Chinchilla lanigera (long-tailed chinchilla)
Lineage: Eukaryota; Metazoa; Chordata; Mammalia; Rodentia; Chinchillidae
Description: lncRNA (ENSCLAG00000026134.1)
Source: RNAcentral
CUCCGCUCAUCUUACAGAAAUGGGUAUACCACCAGAGGAAGGGUCCCUCGCGGGCUUUAGGGAAGCCAGACAGCCCAGAAAUACCCUUCAAGGAACUUGAUCAAGCCGGGCGUGGUGGCACACUCC